GUGUAAAGCCAGUAAUGGCAAAGCUGAGCAGUACUAAUUGCCCGAAACUUUUUAUCG
Molecule: ribosomal RNA, 57 nt
Filed under: Tannerella sp. oral taxon BU063 isolate Cell 2
Lineage: Bacteria; Pseudomonadati; Bacteroidota; Bacteroidia; Bacteroidales; Tannerellaceae
Description: partial 23S ribosomal RNA
Source: RNAcentral